GACAAGAAGGAAAAAAUUUUUACACACCCCAGGUAUGAUGGAGAGAAGGAAUUAUUACAUGCACUAGGUUCAAGCAACCUAGGGUCAACCCCCAAGUAUAUGUAUGGUGGAUAGCGUGCAGCCAAAAAUUAGUAAUAUCCAAGGAUGUGGUGUGAUAUGCUUGGAGACCUCUUGCAAGGGCCACAUGCGGAGGCCGUGCAUGGGAGGUCUCAGCACCA
RNAcentral lists this long non-coding RNA (218 nucleotides) under Elaeis guineensis (African oil palm). RNAcentral's name for it is "long non-coding RNA (EGUI_LNC028797)". Lineage: Eukaryota; Viridiplantae; Streptophyta; Magnoliopsida; Arecales; Arecaceae. The record is from RNAcentral.